CCCAGACUCCUACGGGAGGCAGCAGUGGGGGAUAUUGCACAAUGGGGGGAACCCUGAUGCAGCGACGCCGCGUGGGUGAAGGAGCGUUUCGGCGCGUAAAGCCCUAUCGGCAGGGAAGAAGGAGGACGGUACCUGACUAAGAAGCCCCGGCUAACUACGUGCCAGCAGCCGCGGUAAUACGUAGGGGGCAAGCGUUAUCCGGAUUUACUGGGUGUAAAGGGGGCGCAGACGGCAGCGCAAGCCAGGAGUGAAAGCCCGGGGCCCAACCCCGGGACUGCUCUUGGAACUGCGCGGCUGGAGUGCAGGAGGGGCAGGCGGAAUUCCUGGUGUAGCGGUGAAAUGCGCAGAUAUCAGGAGGAACACCGGUGGCGAAGGCGGCCUGCUGGACGGUAACUGACGCUGAGGCUCGAAAGCGUGGGUAGCAAACAGGAUUAGAUACCCGGGUAG
RNAcentral lists this ribosomal RNA (447 nucleotides) under uncultured bacterium. RNAcentral's name for it is "bacterial SSU rRNA". It matches the Rfam family "Bacterial small subunit ribosomal RNA", at positions 330 to 793 of the family's 1533-position model. The record is from RNAcentral.